Molecule: ribosomal RNA, 497 nt
Filed under: uncultured bacterium
Lineage: Bacteria
Description: partial 16S ribosomal RNA
Rfam family: Bacterial small subunit ribosomal RNA
Source: RNAcentral
GAUGAACGCUGGCGGCGUGCCUAAUACAUGCAAGUCGAGCGAACAGAUGAGGAGCUUGCUCCUCUGACGUUAGCGGCGGACGGGUGAGUAACACGUGGAUAACCUACCUAUAAGACUGGGAUAACUUCGGGAAACCGGAGCUAAUACCGGAUAAUAUAUUGAACCGCAUGGUUCAAUAGUGAAAGACGGUUUUGCUGUCACUUAUAGAUGGAUCCGCGCCGCAUUAGCUAGUUGGUAAGGUAACGGCUUACCAAGGCAACGAUGCGUAGCCGACCUGAGAGCGUGAUCGGCCACACUGGAACUGAGACACGGUCCAGACUCCUACGGGAGGCAGCAAUAGGGAAUCUUCCGCAAUGGGCGAAAGCCUGACGGAGCAACGCCGCGUGAGUGAUGAAGGUCUUCGGAUCGUAAAACUCUGUUAUUAGGGAAGAACAAAUGUGUAAGUAACUAUGCACGUCUUGACGGUACCUAAUCAGAAAGCCACGGCUAACUACGUG